GCUUCAGGAGCUUUGCAAAAGAAAUGGCGGAUAAACAACCACCAGCAAAGAGAGAACUGCCCAUCCCUCCUUGGCCAAAAACAGAUUAUACGACAAAAACAAGUAAACAGAAGAAGGCAGAGGAAGAAAAGCAAGCUAAAAAUAAAGAAUUAGACCAAGCACGAGAUAAAACAACUGUAAAUAUUGGAGUGGCUUCCUCAGAGGAGGAGGGAGCAACGGCACCCAAAAGGAUACAAAACUGAUGCCGAGUUAACUACAUUUCUGCUUGACAGUGGUGGCAGUAUGCACCUUGAACAAAAUGGAUACCGCUAAUAAGUGCGAAAAGAAGAAGCGGAAGACCUGCAUUGCAAUAGACAGAUAGGGAUGUCAUCCUGCUAAUGGAAGAUGCUCAACUGGAAAAUUAUUUUCCAUUAUUUGGAGACAGGAUUGCUUUUUGCAAUUUUUGCAAGCGUCAAUAACAAUCAACAAAGCGAAAGCAGGGUCUUUUUUCAAAAGCUAAGGGAGAAGCUCAGACUUAGAAAGGAAAAC
This is a long non-coding RNA of Thunnus maccoyii (southern bluefin tuna), 528 nucleotides long. RefSeq lists it as uncharacterized. The transcript is spliced from 3 exons. Lineage: Eukaryota; Metazoa; Chordata; Actinopteri; Scombriformes; Scombridae. The record is from RefSeq and is a predicted model, not a curated record.